AUGUUGACUAAUGAAAAUAAUUGGACUCUUCCUGAGCCAGUUCCUGAAGUAAUUCCUGAACCAAUUGAGCCAACUCCUGAGCAUAUUCCUAAACCCACUCCGAAGAAGAGAGGUGUUUUAUUUCUCAGUCCUGAAGAUAUGCAAGAGGCAAAGAAAUCAAUGAAAGAAAAAGGUAUUAAAGCUGAAGAUGUUAAGAAUAUACCUCCUAUUGAAGAAAUACAUGGUCUGAAUAUACCGCCUGAAGAACCACAUUGUCUUGAUAACCCGACACAGGUAGUAAAGGUAAAUUCUCUCUAUAGAUACGAUAAAGUUGAAAUACCCUCUACUAAAUUUCAU
Molecule: ribosomal RNA, 336 nt
Filed under: Triticum aestivum (bread wheat)
Lineage: Eukaryota; Viridiplantae; Streptophyta; Magnoliopsida; Poales; Poaceae
Description: partial small subunit ribosomal RNA
Source: RNAcentral